Molecule: long non-coding RNA, 1935 nt
Filed under: Prunus dulcis (almond)
Lineage: Eukaryota; Viridiplantae; Streptophyta; Magnoliopsida; Rosales; Rosaceae
Description: sRNA ncRNA
Source: RNAcentral
GUUCACAGCCAGUGGCUGCCACUGCAACACAGAAAAACUCAACCCCUAAGCCGCACUCUCUUCUUCCUCAUCUCUCAUCUCUCCAAGCGUCUUCUGUCUCUCUGUCUCUCUGUCUCUCUGUCUCGUCUUCUCUUUCGGUCGGUAAUCAAGUACUCAGGUUGAAGAAAAUGGAUUGCGCAUUCUUGGGUAUAAAUCCCAUUUUGUUCCAAGAAAGUUUUGCAGGAAAUGGGAAUGGAAAUGGUAGGGUGUCUCUGAUGGCGCGUUCUAAUUCUAGUACAAGGAGAAGACUUCCCAGCAACCUUCGCUACCCGCGGCGCACCAAACUUCCUCCGGAUUUUGGAAUCAAUCACUUGUUGAAGAACACCACAGAACCAUCAUCUCAAACGGAAUUUAAGGAAGCAGAAGCAGAAGAAGAUGGCGAAGAUAUUGCUUGGGAGGCAGAUGAGAUUGAAGCUAUUUCAUCACUUUUCCAAGGGAGGAUACCCCAAAAGCCUGGAAAGUUGGAUAGACAAAGGCCUCUCCCCCUCCCACUUCCUUACAAGCUUCGACCUUUGGGACUUCCUAGGCCGAAGAAACAUGUCAAGAUGGCACCCAUUUGUGACCAAGUCUACAAGAAUCCCAAUGCGCUUGUUGGUUUAGCAAGGGAAAUUAGAAGCCUUGGGGUAGAUGAAGAUGUGGGACUAAUUCUCAACAAGUGGGUUCCCUUUCUUAGAAAAGGGUCUCUCUCCAUGACAAUUAGGGAAUUGGGUCACAUGGGUCUCCCUGACAGAGCUCUGCAGACCUUCUCUUGGGCUCAGAAACAGCCUCACCUCUUCCCGGAUGACCGGCUUUUGGCUUCCGCUGUUGAGGUCCUGGCAAGAAACCAUGAGCUUAAACUGCCAUUCAAUUUGGACAAAUUCACAAGUUUGGCAAGUCGUGGUGUGAUUGAGGCAAUGGCAAGAGGGUUCAUCAAAGGGGGAAGCUUGCAUCUUGCUUGGAAGCUUAUAUUCAUAGCUAAGAAUAGUGGAAGAAAGUUGGAUACGAGCGUAUAUGCCAAGCUAAUACUGGAGCUUGGGAAGAACCCGGAUAAGCGCAGGCUUAUAGGGACCUUACUGGACGAGCUUGGGAAAAGAGAAGACCUGAAUUUAACCCAGCAGGAUUGUACUGCUAUUAUGAAAGUGUGCAUUAGGCUUGGAAAAUUUGAAGUUGUGGAGAGUGUUUAUGACUGGUUUAGACAAUCUGGGCAUGAUCCAAGUGUUGUUAUGUACACAACUCUGAUUCAUAGCCGCUAUUCAGAGAAGAAAUACAGGGAGGCCUUGGCUGUGGUUUGGGAAAUGGAGGCUUCAAACUGUCCCUUUGAUUUUCCAGCUUAUCGUGUGGCAAUAAAGCUUUUUGUUGCUCUGAAUGAUCUUCCAAGGGCUGUAAGAUAUAUUUCCAAGCUUAAGGAAGCAGGUUUCUCUCCGACAUAUGAUGUGUACCGGGACUUGAUUAAAAUGUACAUGGUUUCUGGGAGGCUGGCAAAGUGUAGGGAUGUAUGCAAGGAGGUAGACAUAGCAGGAUUCAAGUUAGAUAAAGAAACAAUGUCACAGUUGUUGCAAUUAGAAAGUGAGAAAAGGUUAAGUUUUUAAAAUCCGAACUUCUCUGUUGUAAGCUGUAAUUACUAAUGCCCUCAUGUAGAAGUUCUUUCUGCCCAUCUUGUUUGGGUUAUUUUUGCAUAUGCACGCUUCUCUUAUCUUUAUGGUCAUCUUCACAUAAGUUUCACAAAGCCAUCAGGGGCAUCCUUGCUUGCUCUUCGCAUUUCAUUCUCAUUUUGUAUUCUUGAUGACUAAUGGAAGUGCAUCUGUACUGUAGAUAAACUGCAGUGUGUUUUAUUUUAUUAUUUGUCCCUAGCUUUGCACAGCAUCCAGACAAUGCAUACAUACAAGUAAAAGAAGUGAGCACUCUCUAACAUGAUCG